AAGCUCGUAGUUGGAUCUUGGGUGGGUGUCGUCGGUCCGUCGCAAGGCGUGUUACUGGCGGCGCCUGCCUCGUCUUCGGUUCUUCGUCGGUGCUCUUGACUGAGUGUCGGCGGUGGCCGAAAAGUUUACUUUGAAAAAAUUAGAGUGUUCAAAGCAGGCUGCUCGCCUGCAUAGUGUUGCAUGGAAUAAUGGAAUAGGACCUCGGUUCUAUUUUGUUGGUUUUCGGAGCGCGAGGUAAUGAUUAAGAGGGACAGACGGGGGCGUCCGUACUCUGCCGUUAGAGGUGAAAUUCUUGGAUCGGCGGAAGACGAACUACUGCGAAAGCAUUCGCCAAGAAUGUUUUCUUUAAUCAAGAGCGAAAGUCAGAGGUUCGAAGACGAUCAGAUACCGUCCUAGUUCUGACUAUAAACGAUGCCAACUAGCGAUCGGGAGGCGUUACCAUGACGACCUUCCCGGCAGCUUCCGGGAAACCAAAGUCUUUGGGUUCUGGGGGAAGUAUGGUUGCAAAGCUGAAACUUAAAGGAAUUGACGGAAGGGCACCACCAGGAGUGGAGCCUGCGGCUUAAUUUGACUCAACACGGGGAAACUCACCCGGCCCGGACACAGGAAGGAUUGACAGAUUGAGAGCUCUUUCUUGAUUCUGUGGGUGGUGGUGCAUGGCCGUUCUUAGUUGGUGGAGCGAUUUGUCUGGUUAAUUCCGAUAACGAACGAGACUCUGGCAUGCUAAAUAGUUACGCGACCUUCUCGGUCGGCGUCUAACUUCUUAGAGGGACUAGUGGCGCUUAGCCACACGAGAUUGAGCAAUAACAGGUCUGUGAUGCCCUUAGAUGUUCGGGGCCGCACGCGCGCUACACUGAAUGAAGCAGCGAGUGUCUAACCUAGGCCGAAAGGUCCGGGUAACCCGUUGAACCCCAUUCGUGAUUGGGAUAG
Molecule: ribosomal RNA, 930 nt
Filed under: Herdmania momus (red throated ascidian)
Lineage: Eukaryota; Metazoa; Chordata; Ascidiacea; Stolidobranchia; Pyuridae
Description: SSU rRNA
Rfam family: Eukaryotic small subunit ribosomal RNA
Source: RNAcentral